This 250-nucleotide ribosomal RNA is filed under the name uncultured Chroococcidiopsis sp. Its description in RNAcentral is "partial 16S ribosomal RNA". It matches the Rfam family "Bacterial small subunit ribosomal RNA", at positions 796 to 1044 of the family's 1533-position model. Lineage: Bacteria; Bacillati; Cyanobacteriota; Cyanophyceae; Chroococcidiopsidales; Chroococcidiopsidaceae. The record is from RNAcentral.
CUAGCCGUAAACGAUGGAUGCUAGGCGUUGUGAGUAUCGACCCUCGCAGUGUCGUAGCUAGCGCGUUAAGUAUCCCGCCUGGGGAGUACGCGCGCAAGCGUGAAACUCAAAGGAAUUGACGGGGGCCCGCACAAGCGGUGGAGUAUGUGGUUUAAUUCGAUGCAACGCGAAGAACCUUACCAGGACUUGACAUGUCGCGAAUCUCAGGGAAACUUGAGAGUGCCUUCGGGAGCGCGAACACAGGUGGUGC